GCAGUCGAGCGGUAGAGAGAAGCUUGCUUCUCUUGAGAGCGGCGGACGGGUGAGUAAUGCCUAGGAAUCUGCCUGGUAGUGGGGGAUAACGCUCGGAAACGGACGCUAAUACCGCAUACGUCCUACGGGAGAAAGCAGGGGACCUUCGGGCCUUGCGCUAUCAGAUGAGCCUAGGUCGGAUUAGCUAGUUGGUGAGGUAAUGGCUCACCAAGGCGACGAUCCGUAACUGGUCUGAGAGGAUGAUCAGUCACACUGGAACUGAGACACGGUCCAGACUCCUACGGGAGGCAGCAGUGGGGAAUAUUGGACAAUGGGCGAAAGCCUGAUCCAGCCAUGCCGCGUGUGUGAAGAAGGUCUUCGGAUUGUAAAGCACUUUAAGUUGGGAGGAAGGGCAUUAACCUAAUACGUUGGUGUCUUGACGUUACCGACAGAAUAAGCACCGGCUAACUCUGUGCCAGCAGCCGCGGUAAUACAGAGGGUGCAAGCGUUAAUCGGAAUUACUGGGCGUAAAGCGCGCGUAGGUGGUUCGUUAAGUUGGAUGUGAAAUCCCCGGGCUCAACCUGGGAACUGCAUUCAAAACUGUCGAGCUAGAGUAUGGUAGAGGGUGGUGGAAUUUCCUGUGUAGCGGUGAAAUGCGUAGAUAUAGGAAGGAACACCAGUGGCGAAGGCGACCACCUGGACUGAUACUGACACUGAGGUGCGAAAGCGUGGGGAGCAAACAGGAUUAGAUACCCUGGUAGUCCACGCCGUAGACGAUGUCAACUAGCCUUUGGGAGCCUUGAGCUCUUAGUGGCGCAGCUAACGCAUUAAGUUGACCGCCUGGGGAGUACGGCCGCAAGGUUAAAACUCAAAUGAAUUGACGGGGGCCCGCACAAGCGGUGGAGCAUGUGGUUUAAUU
Molecule: ribosomal RNA, 898 nt
Filed under: Pseudomonas sp.
Lineage: Bacteria; Pseudomonadati; Pseudomonadota; Gammaproteobacteria; Pseudomonadales; Pseudomonadaceae
Description: bacterial SSU rRNA
Rfam family: Bacterial small subunit ribosomal RNA
Source: RNAcentral